This 57-nucleotide transfer RNA is filed under the name Cordylochernes scorpioides. RNAcentral describes it as "tRNA-Thr". The record is from RNAcentral. Lineage: Eukaryota; Metazoa; Arthropoda; Arachnida; Pseudoscorpiones; Chernetidae.
AUGGGAAUCGAACCCACAGUGUUCCGCUUACCGAGCAAAUGCCAUGUCCACUAGGCU